GGGAAUCAGAGCUGUCUUCGCAUGCCACAGCGAGUGUGAACACAGCUGGUGAUAUCUCU
RNAcentral lists this microRNA precursor (59 nucleotides) under Eisenia fetida (common brandling worm). RNAcentral's name for it is "Efe-Mir-317-P5_pre stem-loop". Lineage: Eukaryota; Metazoa; Annelida; Clitellata; Crassiclitellata; Lumbricidae. The record is from RNAcentral.